Molecule: long non-coding RNA, 750 nt
Organism: Miniopterus natalensis
Lineage: Eukaryota; Metazoa; Chordata; Mammalia; Chiroptera; Miniopteridae
Source: RefSeq, a predicted model, not a curated record
GGAUGAGACCAAAUCUUGGGGGAGCAGGGGAGGCAGAGCUGCGGGGUUUUGACUUUGCUCCGAGUCUAAUUGACUCUUCCGCUUCGUAGGAGGCCCAACAGCAGAGCUGAGCCCACCCGGCUCAGGGGAAGACCGUCGGGGGCUAAGGCCGCCCUGGAAGUCCAAGUACGAGCUGUGUUUCUUGAAGAGGCUGAGCCGGGCAAGGCUGUGACAUUGGCCCUGGAGACUGGUUUCCCACGAGCUGUUCUUUUUCAAGAGCUCCACGGCGCGGGGCCAUCCCCAGAAAACAGUCCUCAGCGUGUAUUUCCUUUUAGCGUCAACACGGAGCCCCACGGCAGCAAAUGAAUGCAAGAGGCCAAAAAUGUUUUGGAGGAAGAAAAACAAAGGCAGGAAGUGGCGGCCGACUGACGGUCUAGGCAGCCCUCGCGGGGCCGGCCCCGUCGCUCCCCGCGCAGCGUUUGGAGAUGGCCACCCGGAGAGGAGAAGCCUGGCGCCCGCACCAAGCUCGUCAGGCGGAAAUGGCUAACGAGGAGAUUGGCUCUGCAAAGCAGACCUGGCCUUUCCAAGGCUUCGUUUAAUUUGGCCCUAAAGUUGGAGGGGGGAGUUGGGGGUUCUGCAGCGCCUCCGGACCCUCCUCGGGCGGGCUGCGUGCGCCCUGGCAGUGCCGGGACGAAUCGUGCGCCCCGCGCUCCACGCGCCUUCGUAGGCGGGAUAUCGGAAUAAAGUGUGUCCAGGUGCUUCUGCCCAGCA